GAUGAACGCUGGCGGCGUGCCUAAUACAUGCAAGUCGAGCGAACAGACGAGGAGCUUGCUCCUUUGACGUUAGCGGCGGACGGGUGAGUAACACGUAGGUAACCUACCUAUAAGACUGGGAUAACUUCGGGAAACCGGAGCUAAUACCGGAUAAUAUUUCGAACCGCAUGGUUCGAUAGUGAAAGAUGGCUUUGCUAUCACUUAUAGAUGGACCUGCGCCGUAUUAGCUAGUUGGUAAGGUAACGGCUUACCAAGGCAACGAUACGUAGCCGACCUGAGAGGGUGAUCGGCCACACUGGAACUGAGACACGGUCCAGACUCCUACGGGAGGCAGAAGUAGGGAAUCUUCCGCAAUGGGCGAAAGCCUGACGGAGCAACGCCGCGUGAGUGAUGAAGGUCUUCGGAUCGUAAAACUCUGUUAUUAGGGAAGAACAAACGUGUAAGUAACUGUGCACGUCUUGACGGUACCUAAUCAGAAAGCCACGGCUAACUACGUG
RNAcentral lists this ribosomal RNA (497 nucleotides) under uncultured bacterium. RNAcentral's name for it is "partial 16S ribosomal RNA". It matches the Rfam family "Bacterial small subunit ribosomal RNA", at positions 28 to 507 of the family's 1533-position model. The record is from RNAcentral.